This 75-nucleotide transfer RNA is filed under the name Chloroflexota bacterium. RNAcentral's name for it is "Chloroflexi bacterium tRNA-Arg". It matches the Rfam family "tRNA". From Rfam's summary of the family: Transfer RNA (tRNA) molecules are approximately 80 nucleotides in length. Their secondary structure includes four short double-helical elements and three loops (D, anti-codon, and T loops). Lineage: Bacteria; Bacillati; Chloroflexota. The record is from RNAcentral.
GCCCCUGUAGCUCAGUGGAUAGAGCAUCGGUUUCCUAAACCGUGUGCCCGGGUUCGAGUCCCGGCUGGGGCACCA